Molecule: ribosomal RNA, 484 nt
Filed under: uncultured bacterium
Lineage: Bacteria
Description: partial 16S ribosomal RNA
Rfam family: Bacterial small subunit ribosomal RNA
Source: RNAcentral
AUUGAACGCUGGCGGCAGGCCUAACACAUGCAAGUCGAGCGGAUGAAGGGAGCUUGCUCCUGGAUUCAGCGGCGGACGGGUGAGUAAUGCCUAGGAAUCUGCCUGGUAGUGGGGGAUAACGUCCGGAAACGGGCGCUAAUACCGCAUACGUCCUGAGGGAGAAAGUGGGGGAUCUUCGGACCUCACGCUAUCAGAUGAGCCUAGGUCGGAUUAGCUAGUUGGUGGGGUAAAGGCCUACCAAGGCGACGAUCCGUAACUGGUCUGGGAGGAUGAUCAGUCACACUGGAACUGAGACACGGUCCAGACUCCUAAGGGAGGCAGCAGUGGGGAAUAUUGGACAAUGGGCGAAAGCCUGAUCCAGCCAUGCCGCGUGUGUGAAGAAGGUCUUCGGAUUGUAAAGCACUUUAAGUUGGGAGGAAGGGCAGUAAGUUAAUACCUUGCUGUUUUGACGUUACCAACAGAAUAAGCACCGGCUAACUUCGUG